AAACGAUGACAACUAGCUGUUGGGAGACAAGAUCUCUCAGUGGCGCAGCUAACGCUUUAAGUUGUCCGCCUGGGGAGUACGGCCGCAAGGUUAAAACUCAAAUGAAUUGACGGGGACCCGCACAAGCGGUGGAGCAUGUGGUUUAAUUCGAUGCAACGCGAAAAACCUUACCUACUCUUGACAUACUUGGAAGCUCUUGUAAUGAGAGUGUGCUUUUAGAGCCAAGAUACAGGUGCUGCAUGGCUGUCGUCAGCUCGUGUCGUGAGAUGUUGGGUUAAGUCCCAUAACGAGCGCAACCCUUACCCUUAUUUGCCAGCGGUUCGGCCGGGAACUAUAAGGGGACUGCCGGUGACAAACCGGAGGAAGGUGAGGACGACGUCAAGUCAUCAUGGCCCUUACGAGUAGGGCUACACACGUGCUACAAUGGGGAAUACAGACGGACGCUAAAGCGUGAGCUGGUGCUAAUCCUAAAAAAUUUCUCGUAGUCCGGAUUGCAGUCUGCAACUCGACUGCAUGAAGUCGGAAUCGCUAGUAAUCGCGAAUCAGCAUGUCGCGGUGAAUACGUUCUCGGGUCUUGUACACACCGCCCGUCACACCAUGGAAGUGUGUUGCACCAGAAGUAGGUAGUCUAACCUUCGGGAAGGCGCUUACCACGGUGUGAUCCAUGACUGGGGUGAAGUCAUAACAAGGUAGCCGUA
This 698-nucleotide ribosomal RNA is filed under the name uncultured bacterium. RNAcentral's name for it is "bacterial SSU rRNA". It matches the Rfam family "Bacterial small subunit ribosomal RNA", at positions 804 to 1504 of the family's 1533-position model. The record is from RNAcentral.